CGUAAGCGAGUUUGGAGAAUGUGGGCUUUGGGGGCUUGAGGGUAUGGUUACGA
Molecule: transfer RNA, 53 nt
Filed under: Centrorhynchus clitorideus
Lineage: Eukaryota; Metazoa; Acanthocephala; Palaeacanthocephala; Polymorphida; Centrorhynchidae
Description: tRNA-Pro
Source: RNAcentral